Molecule: ribosomal RNA, 454 nt
Filed under: Clostridioides difficile
Lineage: Bacteria; Bacillati; Bacillota; Clostridia; Peptostreptococcales; Peptostreptococcaceae
Description: bacterial LSU rRNA
Rfam family: Bacterial large subunit ribosomal RNA
Source: RNAcentral
AGUGAACUUAAGCCCCAGUAAACGGCGGCCGUAACUAUAACGGUCCUAAGGUAGCGAAAUUCCUUGUCGGGUAAGUUCCGACCCGCACGAAAGGCGUAACGAUUUGGGCACUGUCUCAACAACAGACCCGGUGAAAUUGUAAUUCCGGUGAAGAUGCCGGAUACCUGCGACAGGACGGAAAGACCCCAUGGAGCUUUACUGUAGCUUGACAUUGGGUCUUGGUACUACAUGUACAGGAUAGGUGGGAGGCUUUGAAACCAGGACGCCAGUUUUGGCGGAGCCAUCCUUGGGAUACCACCCUUGUAGUACUGGGACUCUAACCAUAGGCCAUGAAUCUGGUCUUGGGACACUGUCAGGUGGGCAGUUUGACUGGGGCGGUCGCCUCCCAAAAGGUAACGGAGGCGCUCAAAGGUUCUCUCAGUACGGUCGGAAAUCGUACGUAGAGUGUAAAGGC